RNAcentral lists this transfer RNA (76 nucleotides) under Acetomicrobium flavidum. Its description in RNAcentral is "tRNA-Glu". It matches the Rfam family "tRNA". From Rfam's summary of the family: Transfer RNA (tRNA) molecules are approximately 80 nucleotides in length. Their secondary structure includes four short double-helical elements and three loops (D, anti-codon, and T loops). The record is from RNAcentral. Lineage: Bacteria; Thermotogati; Synergistota; Synergistia; Synergistales; Acetomicrobiaceae.
GGCCCCAUCGUCUAGCGGUCCAGGACUCCGGGUUCUCAGCCCGGCAACAGGGGUUCGAAUCCCCUUGGGGCUACCA